This 264-nucleotide long non-coding RNA is filed under the name Bos taurus (domestic cattle). Its description in RNAcentral is "long non-coding RNA NONBTAT006913". Lineage: Eukaryota; Metazoa; Chordata; Mammalia; Artiodactyla; Bovidae. The record is from RNAcentral.
AGGUAAAAACCACUUUGCUGUUUUCCCUUUGCUCAAAUUAGGCUCUUCGGUUCAGCCCUGCUUCCCCAUGUCUCCCUGGACUGCUUUCCACAGCCCUCCUUGAUGCUGGGUGGCUGUUUCAUCCACUGCCCCUGCCAUACUCCUUUCAUUAAAGUCAGGGGUUCUCAAGGUGGAAAAAAACCUGUGGGCUCAGUGAUACACCUACCUCCCUUUAGGUAAAUAGUAGAUUUGGCAGUCUGCCGUCUCAGCAUUUAUCUGUUACUA